This 253-nucleotide ribosomal RNA is filed under the name uncultured bacterium. RNAcentral's name for it is "partial 16S ribosomal RNA". It matches the Rfam family "Bacterial small subunit ribosomal RNA", at positions 524 to 776 of the family's 1533-position model. The record is from RNAcentral.
UACGGGGGGGGCAAGCGUUGUUCGGAAUUACUGGGCGUAAAGGGUUCGUAGGUGGCCAACUAAGUCAGACGUGAAAUCCCUCAGCUUAACUGGGGAACUGCGUCUGAGACUGGAUGGCUUGAGUGCAGGAGAGGAACGCGGAAUUCCAGGUGUAGCGGUGAAAUGCGUAGAUAUCAAGAGGAACACCUGCGGCGAAGGCGGGUUGCUGGGCCGACACUGACGCUGAGGCGCGAAAGCUAGGGGAGCGAACGGG